CGACGUGAGGAACCUGCCUCAAAGAGGGGGACAACAGUUGGAAACGACUGCUAAUACCGCAUAAGCCCACAGCUCGGCAUCGAGCAGAGGGAAAAGGAGUGAUCCGCUUUGAGAUGGCCUCGCGUCCGAUUAGCUAGUUGGUGAGGUGAUGGCCCACCAAGGCGACGAUCGGUAGCCGGACUGAGAGGUUGAACGGCCACAUUGGGACUGAGACACGGCCCAG
RNAcentral lists this ribosomal RNA (223 nucleotides) under uncultured bacterium. RNAcentral describes it as "partial 16S ribosomal RNA". It matches the Rfam family "Bacterial small subunit ribosomal RNA", at positions 113 to 334 of the family's 1533-position model. The record is from RNAcentral.